AUCUCCUCACCUGGCGGUCACGCAGGCAGCACGGCUGGUUGGCAGCAGAAAUUAUGCACUACCUUCACUAAACGGUCGAUUCUAACAUUAUAGAGACUCAGCGGUCAGGUUUUUUUGUUACCCUUUCUUUUACCUGGAUUUGAUCCGUCGAAAGACUGGCGAGCUACCCAAGGAACUCUGAACCCCCCACACCUGCCCCCCUUUCCCAAAGAAGACUACCAUGGUUAGGGUAGGAACAAGGACUCUGGGACAUAAUGAACUGAACCGAUUUAAGGUCGAUUUAAAGAAAGAGCAGAACUUUAAUUUUUGUAUUUUUUUUUAAAGGCCUCUCUUCGUUAUUAUUGAUUGAUUGUUUGAAGUUGUUUGUGUUUAUUAUUUGGAAAAAAAUAUUAUUUAUCAAUACACUUGCUUAAACUUAA
Molecule: long non-coding RNA, 419 nt
Organism: Cheilinus undulatus (humphead wrasse)
Lineage: Eukaryota; Metazoa; Chordata; Actinopteri; Labriformes; Labridae
Exons: 2
Source: RefSeq, a predicted model, not a curated record